RNAcentral lists this ribosomal RNA (272 nucleotides) under uncultured bacterium. RNAcentral describes it as "partial 16S ribosomal RNA". It matches the Rfam family "Bacterial small subunit ribosomal RNA", at positions 525 to 796 of the family's 1533-position model. The record is from RNAcentral.
ACGUAGGAUGCAAGCGUUGUCCGGAAUUAUUGGGCGUAAAGCGAACGUAGGCGGUUACUUAAGUCUGGACUUAAAGACCGGGGCUCAACCCCGGGAAUGGUUCGGAUACUGGGUGACUAGAGGAUGUCAGAGGAAAGUGGAAUUCCAAGUGUAGCGGUGAAAUGCGUAGAUAUUUGGAGGAACACCAGUGGCGAAAGCGGCUUUCUGGGACAUUCCUGACGCUGAGGUUCGAAAGCUCGGGGAGCAAACAGGAUUAGAAACCCCUGUAGUCC